This 505-nucleotide ribosomal RNA is filed under the name uncultured delta proteobacterium. Its description in RNAcentral is "bacterial SSU rRNA". It matches the Rfam family "Bacterial small subunit ribosomal RNA", at positions 45 to 526 of the family's 1533-position model. Lineage: Bacteria; Deltaproteobacteria. RNAcentral also lists the same sequence under 1 other name. The record is from RNAcentral.
GGCCUAACACAUGCAAGGUCGAACGGGAUUAAGGGGCUUGCCUCUUAAUUUAGUGGCGCACGGGUGAGUAACGCGUGGAUAACCUGCCCUGGUAUCCGGGAUAACAUCUCGAAAGGGGUGCUAAUACGGGAUAAGCCCACGGGGUCUUCGGACCUUGCGGGAAAAGGUGGCCUCUGAAUAUGCUGCCGUAUCAGGAUGGGUCCGCGUACCAUUAGCUAGUUGGUAGUGUAAUGGACUACCAAGGCUACGAUGGUUAGCUGGUCUGAGAGGAUGAUCAGCCACACUGGAACUGAGACACGGUCCAGACUCCUACGGGAGGCAGCAGUGGGGAAUUUUGCGCAAUGGGGGAAACCCUGACGCAGCAACGCCGCGUGAGUGAUGAAGGCCUUCGGGUCGUAAAGCUCUGUCAGAGGGAAAGAAGUGUAGCAUGGUUAAUACCCAUACUACUUGACGGUACCCUCAAAGGAAGCACCGGCUAACUCCGUGCCAGCAGCCGCGGUAAUAC